AGAGUUUGAUCAUGGCUCAGGAUGAACGCUGGCGGCGUGCCUAACACAUGCAAGUCGAGCGAUCUUCUUCGGAAGAGAGCGGCGGACGGGUGAGUAACGCGUGGGUAACCUGCCCUGUACACACGGAUAACAUACCGAAAGGUAUGCUAAUACGGGAUAAUAUGCUUUUAUCGCAUGGUAGAAGUAUCAAAGCUCCGGCGGUACAGGAUGGACCCGCGUCUGAUUAGCUAGUUGGUAAGGUAAUGGCUUACCAAGGCGACGAUCAGUAGCCGACCUGAGAGGGUGAUCGGCCACAUUGGAACUGAGACACGGUCCAAACUCCUACGGGAGGCAGCAGUGGGGAAUAUUGCACAAUGGGCGAAAGCCUGAUGCAGCAACGCCGCGUGAGCGAUGAAGGCCUUCGGGUCGUAAAGCUCUGUCCUCAAGGAAGAUAAUGACGGUACUUGAGGAGGAAGCCCCGGCUAACUACGUGCCAGCAGCCGCGGUAAUACGUAGGGGGCUAGCGUUAUCCGGAAUUACUGGGCGUAAAGGGUGCGUAGGUGGUUUCUUAAGUCAGAGGUGAAAGGCUACGGCUCAACCGUAGUAAGCCUUUGAAACUGGGAAACUUGAGUGCAGGAGAGGAGAGUGGAAUUCCUAGUGUAGCGGUGAAAUGCGUAGAUAUUAGGAGGAACACCAGUUGCGAAGGCGGCUCUCUGGACUGUAACUGACACUGAGGCACGAAAGCGUGGGGAGCAAACAGGAUUAGAUACCCUGGUAGU
Molecule: ribosomal RNA, 758 nt
Filed under: uncultured bacterium
Lineage: Bacteria
Description: bacterial SSU rRNA
Rfam family: Bacterial small subunit ribosomal RNA
Source: RNAcentral